RNAcentral lists this ribosomal RNA (87 nucleotides) under Staphylococcus epidermidis. RNAcentral describes it as "partial 16S ribosomal RNA". It matches the Rfam family "Bacterial small subunit ribosomal RNA", at positions 1 to 84 of the family's 1533-position model. The record is from RNAcentral. Lineage: Bacteria; Bacillati; Bacillota; Bacilli; Caryophanales; Staphylococcaceae.
AUUUUUAUGGAGAGUUUGAUCCUGGCUCAGGAUGAACGCUGGCGGCGUGCCUAAUACAUGCAAGUCGAGCGAACAGACGAGGAGCUU